This 3597-nucleotide long non-coding RNA is filed under the name Sus scrofa (pig). RNAcentral describes it as "lncRNA (ENSSSCG00000060443.1)". The record is from RNAcentral. Lineage: Eukaryota; Metazoa; Chordata; Mammalia; Artiodactyla; Suidae.
GAAGCUGUAAGCUCCAGAAGGGCUAGAAUCUGCCAGGCUCCACACUCUAUCUCCGACAUUUGGUUCAGAGCCCAGCACGAGGCAGUCACUUGGUGAGUGUUAGAAUGACUGAAUCUGGGGUGACCUGUCUUUAAACAUGCUGAGAUGGGGUAACAGGUAAUUAUUUUGUUAGUUUUUACAAUUUUCUCAUUUUUAAACAAUAUGUUUUCUUUAUGUAAUAAAGAAAAAAAGUGAAAUUCUUUUAUACCAACUUUAUGUGCUAUUGUAAGUCACUGCAGUAAGGCAGCAAGAGGCCUGUAGGAGAAUUAUGUUACUAAAUUCUGGUUUGGCUCCUUGCUGUUAGAAAGCCAGUACUUGAGAGGCAAGUGUAGGUUGGAAAAGGAAAGUUUUACUCAGAAGGCUGGCGACCUGGAAGUACCUGCCCCAGAACCAAUUCCUCUGAAGACUCUGCUUGGCCAUGAAAGAUUUUAAAGGUAAAAAGAGGAAGGAAUCUCAGAUCAUCAUUGAGGGAGGGGGUCAGAUUAUUUGCCAUCCCCCACUGGCUUGUGGUGUCCUUGUAAUCUCUUAAACGCUAUCCUGUUCCCACCGUCUGCUCUCGAGAUUACUGAAGGGGCAGCUGGAAGAUCUAGUCAUGUGUUCAUUAUGCAUUCUUCAUUUCCACGUCUUUAAGAAUUAACAGGUUAGGCGAGGCGUUGUGUGAGCAAAAGUUUUGAAAGGGUGUGCUUGGGUCAGAGGUUAGUUAAGCCUCAGGCAUCUGGUGUAAGGGUUAGUCAAAAUGUAGCUUUGCUCAAGUGACAAGACAAAAGGCCUCCUGCUGAGAGCUGCUUCCUGCAAAGAGUUGCUUAUACUCCACGUUUUAUUUUGCUGGAACUUUGGAGUAGAUUAGAGGUUUUCAGUAGGGAGUGAUGACCCCUAGAAGAGACUUCUGGAGAUGUUUGGAGACACAUUUUUGUGUGUUUGUUUUGUUUUCUCCAUUGAGGAGGUGCUAAAUGGUACCUAAUGUGCUAGAUGGAGGAUGAGGAUACCUCUGAAUAUCCUACAACACACAGGAGAGCCUCCUCCUUUAAGGAAAACCAUCCAGUCUGAAAUGUUAACAGUGCCAAGUUGGAGAAAAUUUCGCUUCCGUGGAGACUUCUAUAGAAAGUAAGUGUGUAACUUUCUAUAGAAACUGACCAAGCUGCUAAAUGAUGGGACACCAGAAUUUUAAAAACUAAUAAGAUCUGUUGUGAUUUUUAAAAAGUUUGGGUGAUUUGUAUUUGUGGGAAGACUUGCUGGUUGUUUAGUAGAAAUGUGUAUUUAAUGUAGGAUAUUCACUCCUAUUGUCUGUGUCAGUAGAACACUCUGUAGUGUGCUUUGCAGGCAUUGCCCUUUACAGAGGUUUGAAGUGGUUUGAAAAAAAAAAAGUGUCAAAUGACUGCUUGUUUGCACACUUCUAAAUGCCCAAUUUGACAGAGUUUGUUUAAGAGAGCCGUUUACGAGUCAAUUUAGCUAAAACUGUUAGGCAGAGCAUACAAAUAACCAUUUUGCUUACAGAUUGUUGUUUUUAUAGCACUGGACUAAUAAAACAGAAAUAAGGUAGGGCUCUUUAGUGUUUAUGAGGCUUGGUCUAUUUAAAUCUGAGUUUAACAUCUGGGAGCAUAUCAGCCAGGAGAGGGUAGCUUAUGCUACAGUGACAGCAUCUCAGUGGCUUAACCCAACCAAGGUCAAUGUCAUUUUUGGAGUCCACUGGGCAUCUGGGUAACUCUUCCAGGUGACUGUCUCUGAGUGACAACUCAGCCUUCCAGGCUGGGGAAAUUGCUAUCUUGGAACACAGGACCUUAUUAGGCACGUGGCAGGGAAGUGGCAACAGAGGACACUGCCUGUUAGAUCUUUAGUGCUCUCACCUGGAAGGGACGUAGGUGACAACCAGUAACAUUUACUGACCCAGCAAAUUACACAGCCAGAUUUAGGCACUCGGGGAAAUGUAAUUCUCCAAUGUUGCGUAGGAGACGCAGGAAUAUUUCCGAGUGUGAGCAAUAUCUAUCCUAACUAGGUCUAGUAUUUGUUUCCCUUGAUAUGUGACUCUUCAGGGUGGUUAUGAAGAAGGCAUUUUGCUAAGUGCAAUGAUGCCAUCUCUCACACCAAAUUAGCCUCAUUUCAUUACGCUCAUUUGGGGGAGGGUCUGUAUUUAUAUGUCACUCCAUGUAUUUGUCAUUUACUUCUACAUGUUUGGGCUGCUAAAUGAGAGUCUGUACCAGAUGCUACAGUCUCUGGUUUCUCAGGUGGGCUAACAUCGCCCACAGGGUCCUGAAUGCUCACGGAUGAUGGCGGUGGCCUUUGCAUUUUACAUAAUGUUAAGUCAUCCCAACAUUAUUUUUGUGGUAAAACAAAAAUAAGCAUAUCUUGAAAUGCAAUAAAAAGAGGCAUUUUAAGGUAAAAUAUGAGGCCUCAAUUAACUUUUAUGCUGAAGCAGGUGGCUUCUAGCCAUGUCCCAGUGGAAUGUAUGUACUUUCCUCUGCAACCAAGAUGACCUCACUGGAUAGGGUACUGCUUAUGUACCUCAUUUUGUGACUCAACUUUGAUUGGGCUCUUUUCUUAGUUGUCUUGUGUUGAAAAUGACCAUGUUUUGAAAGUGGAGCUUCUUCAGCAACCCAUUGUUAAUGGUCGUCAUGACAAUGGGGUUAUCUUUUGCAGAGAGGCGUUCAGAAUUUCCAUUCUGUGUCCUACCGGCAGUUUGGUAGGAGAAACGCUAAUGAAACUGAUAGCUGGGUUCAUAACUGAUCGCUAGACCAUCUCACAGAACUGUGAGACGAUAUGGAGCUACAUCCAACUCUUAGCACUUUACCAGCUGAUGGGCUAUUUAUGGUUCUCAUUACCUCUAGCUUCUAGAGUCUGGAUUCGUUCAUUCAUCAAACAAGCUGCGAGCAUCUAGUCUCCAUGGCUGGCACUGUGCUAGGAGCUGGGGGUUUUAGGACAAGAUGAAUGAGAUGGUUUCUACCCUCAGAAACGUUGGGUCUGGGACAGGAUGGCUGCAGGGGUUCUGAAAUCUUUCAUUCACUUCACUUGCAUUUAUUGAGCACUGGUGUGUGACAGGCACUCCGCAAUACCGCAGUGAACAAGAAUCUGUAGCAUGUAGAAUUUAAAAGCCAGACAACCUGGAAUCACAUUGCCUUUGGGGGCCUCAUGGAGGCUUUGUAGCCGCAUUAUAUCCCAUUUUUCUCAUAUAUUGAAGGGAUACCAAAUUUACUGGUAUUAUGGAGUUGUUAGGAAGUUCAUGAGUUAGUAUAUGGGAAUCACUGUAUGACGUUGAGCUCCUACUAUUAUUCCUCACAUUUUUCCCUCGUGCUCUACUCUCUCCUCAAAUCUAUAUUCUUUCCCAUCUCUCCUUUUCAUUCUCUUGGACCAGGCAGUUUCAUGCAUUAAUCAUCAAUUUGAAUAUUGUAGUUUAUCAGUGACCUGUUAAAAAUAUUGCUUACUUAAACAAAACAAAACAGUAAGGAGUUCCUGGUUGGUGACGUAGGUUAAGUAUCUGGUGUUAGCACCACUGUGGCUCAGGUUGCUGCUAUGGUGCCAGUUCAAUGCCUGGUCCAGGAACUUCUGCAUGCCACAGGUGUGGCC